AAGGAACGCUGGCGGCAUGCCUAACACAUGCAAGUCGAACGAGACCUUCGGGUCUAGUGGCGCACGGGUGCGUAACGCGUGGGAACCUGCCCUUAGGUUCGGAAUAACUCCCCGAAAGGGGUGCUAAUACCGGAUAAUGUCUUCGGACCAAAGAUUUAUCGCCUUUGGAUGGGCCCGCGUUGGAUUAGCUAGUUGGUAGGGUAAAAGCCUACCAAGGCGACGAUCCAUAGCUGGUCUGAGAGGAUGAUCAGCCACACUGGGACUGAGACACGGCCCAGACUCCUACGGGAGGCAGCAGUGGGGAAUAUUGGACAAUGGGCGAAAGCCUGAUCCGGCAAUGCCGCGUGAGUGAUGAAGGCCUUAGGGUUGUAAAGCUCUUUUACCCGGGAUGAUAAUGACAGUACCGGGAGAAUAAGCGCCGGCUAACUCCGUG
Molecule: ribosomal RNA, 433 nt
Filed under: uncultured bacterium
Lineage: Bacteria
Description: partial 16S ribosomal RNA
Rfam family: Bacterial small subunit ribosomal RNA
Source: RNAcentral